This is a non-coding RNA of Theobroma cacao (cacao), 269 nucleotides long. The record is from RefSeq and is a predicted model, not a curated record. NCBI's taxonomy places the organism in Eukaryota, Viridiplantae, Streptophyta, Magnoliopsida, Malvales, Malvaceae.
AAUUCAAGAGAAAUUGUUGGAUUUUUAGAAAUUAAGCAAGUAAAGGUGGUGAGCCCUCUGGUAAAGGUAAGGAUAUCAUACCCGAGGAUCAAGAAUAAAAGUACUCCAUACUCCCGUUAUUCUCAAGGCAGUCUGUAGACCGCCGAUUUUGUCGAGGGUUUGCUGUUGGAUUCGUACCCUUAGAAAUUACAGGUUUAUAAUCGUGUUUAUUUUGGUUAUUUUGGGGGCCCACAUGUCAUUAUAGAAUAUUUUGUAUACCUGGCUGUGUG